This is a non-coding RNA of Ameiurus melas (black bullhead), 73 nucleotides long. Lineage: Eukaryota; Metazoa; Chordata; Actinopteri; Siluriformes; Ictaluridae. The record is from the annotation of a GenBank genome assembly.
UGCAUGGUAGUUUAGCCGUUAGCACAUUGGCCUCAUACCUCCAGGUCUGGGGGCUCGAAUCCCUCCUAUGCUG